AAUACCGUCUCACGCGGGGAACCCAGAUGUGGCUCCUUGAGCCUUGGGGUGAAGCUCGCACGCCGAGCCGGACCUCCCGUCCGAACCCGACAGCUAACCUCGCAGGGAAACAGGGAGAA
RNAcentral lists this small RNA (119 nucleotides) under human oral metagenome. Its description in RNAcentral is "ydaO/yuaA leader". It matches the Rfam family "c-di-AMP riboswitch aptamer (ydaO/yuaA leader)", at positions 17 to 131 of the family's 134-position model. From Rfam's summary of the family: This family represents a conserved RNA structure found upstream of the ydaO and yuaA genes in Bacillus subtilis and related genes in other bacteria. The ydaO/yuaA element is thought to act as a genetic "off" switch for the ydaO and yuaA genes in its native state. It is believed that the element may be triggered during osmotic shock leading to activation of ydaO, a predicted amino acid transporter gene, and members of the yuaA-yubG operon which code for KtrA and KtrB K+ transporters. The record is from RNAcentral.